UACGUAGGGGGCAAGCGUUGUCCGGAAUCAUUGGGCGUAAAGCGCGUGUAGGCGGCUCGGUAAGUCCGCUGUGAAAGUCGGGGGCUCAACCCUCGGAUGCCGGUGGAUACUGUCGGACUAGAGUACGGAAGAGGCGAGUGGAAUUCCUGGUGUAGCGGUGAAAUGCGCAGAUAUCAGGAGGAACACCGAUUGCGAAGGCAGCUCGCUGGGACGUUACUGACGCUGAGACGCGAAAGCGUGGGGAGCAAACAGG
This 253-nucleotide ribosomal RNA is filed under the name uncultured bacterium. Its description in RNAcentral is "partial 16S ribosomal RNA". It matches the Rfam family "Bacterial small subunit ribosomal RNA", at positions 524 to 776 of the family's 1533-position model. The record is from RNAcentral.